AUGCCGCGCCUGGAGACGCAGACGAAGCCCGGCGUCCCUUCGAUGGCUGGCUGCGGCGCGGCUGCCUCCCGCGGCCGACGCCGCCACCGAUCUCCUAGUCCUCCUCUCCAGGAUCAUGGGGUAUCAAAUUUAAGCGAAUCGGAAGGUUCCAGGACCGACAGCAGGCACCGACGCCGCCGUAAGGGACGUGGACGCAACAGAAGUGGCAAGAGAAGCCGCUGCCGUCGCGGUCGAUCGCGUGGUAGCAGUAGCGAUAGCGAUGUUGACUCGGAGACCUCCUACGAGAGCAGGAAGAGAUCAAGGAGAAGCAGCCACAAUCGCUCGAGUGGGACGAAAAGCAAGGGAUCUGAUUUCUGCGGCUCCGGUAAACACGAUCGCGCCGCCAAGGGCAAUGUCAAGGCCGGCGAUGAGAAGAAGGACGCGAUCGAGUCUAAGAAUAUGUCCGCGUCGAGGAAGCAGCAGCCCGCUCCGGACGACGACCCGGCACCGCUAGUCGGGCCACUGCCGCUGCCCCACGUCGAUGUCCAUGUCAAGUACGGCGGCGCGCUCCGGCCGGGGGAGGGCGACGCCAUGGCGCAGUUCGUGCAGCAGGGGAAGCGGAUCCCGCGGCGCGGCGAGGUGGGCCUGUCCGCCGAGGAGAUCCAGAGGUUCGAGGAGGCCGGGUACGUGAUGAGCGGGAGCAGGCACUCGAGGAUCACAGCCGUGCGCCUCCGAAAGGAGAACCAAGUGUACAGCGCCGAGGAGAAGCGCGCGCUCGCGACCUUCAACUACGAGCAGAGGGCGAUGCGGGAGAGCAAGGUCAGGGACGACCUCAGGCGCCUCGUGGACAAGACGCUCGGCAAACUCGCCGAGACACAGCAUGACCCGUUCGCCAUGCCUCCUUCACGUUAG
RNAcentral lists this ribosomal RNA (891 nucleotides) under Triticum aestivum (bread wheat). Its description in RNAcentral is "partial small subunit ribosomal RNA". Lineage: Eukaryota; Viridiplantae; Streptophyta; Magnoliopsida; Poales; Poaceae. The record is from RNAcentral.